Molecule: transfer RNA, 74 nt
Filed under: Propionibacteriaceae bacterium
Lineage: Bacteria; Bacillati; Actinomycetota; Actinomycetes; Propionibacteriales; Propionibacteriaceae
Description: tRNA-Arg
Rfam family: tRNA
About the family: Transfer RNA (tRNA) molecules are approximately 80 nucleotides in length.
Source: RNAcentral
GACCCCGUAGCUCAGUUGGAUAGAGCAGCAGACUUCUAAUCUGUCGGUCGAGAGUUCGAGUCUCUCCGGGGUCG